CGGCACGCGCGGCCAGCCGGCGGGACUGCAGCCCCGGGCAGCCGGGACGCGCCUCUGCACCCCGAAGCUUCUUGAAUAUCAAAGCCCGAUGAACCCAAGAAGCAAUUUCUGGUAGAAAUCUGAAGAUUAUCUUUAAGGAAUAAAGGUCAAUGAAUUAAGGACAAGAAGGUUUCAAAUCAGUCCCUGCUAUGUGGAUAUUUGUUAGCAAUGACUGAUG
This is a long non-coding RNA of Phodopus roborovskii (desert hamster), 217 nucleotides long. RefSeq lists it as uncharacterized. The record is from RefSeq and is a predicted model, not a curated record. Lineage: Eukaryota; Metazoa; Chordata; Mammalia; Rodentia; Cricetidae. The transcript is spliced from 3 exons.